This 253-nucleotide ribosomal RNA is filed under the name uncultured bacterium. RNAcentral's name for it is "partial 16S ribosomal RNA". It matches the Rfam family "Bacterial small subunit ribosomal RNA", at positions 524 to 776 of the family's 1533-position model. The record is from RNAcentral.
GACGAAGGGGGCUAGCGUUGUUCGGAAUUACUGGGCGUAAAGGGCUCGUAGGCGGCCAACUAAGUCAGACGUGAAAUCCCUCGGCUUAACCGGGGAACUGCGUCUGAUACUGGAUGGCUUGAGUGUGGGAGAGGGAUGCGGAAUUCCAGGUGUAGCGGUGAAAUGCGUAGAUAUCUGGAGGAACACCGGUGGCGAAGGCGGCAUCCUGGACCGACACUGACGCUGAAAAGCGAAAGCCAGGGGAGCAAACGGG